This 275-nucleotide ribosomal RNA is filed under the name uncultured bacterium. RNAcentral's name for it is "partial 16S ribosomal RNA". It matches the Rfam family "Bacterial small subunit ribosomal RNA", at positions 338 to 609 of the family's 1533-position model. The record is from RNAcentral.
CCUACGGGGGGCUGCAGUCUAGAGGCUUCGGCAAUGGGCGAAAGCCUGACCGAGCGACGCCGCGUGGAGGAUGAAGGCCUUCGGGUUGUAAACUCCUUUCGGCUGGAAGGAAAGUCCUGGUGGUGAACCAGGGUGUGACCGACCAGCGGAAGAAGCCCCGGCUAACUUCGUGCCAGCAGCCGCGGUAAUACGAAGGGGGCGAGCGUUAUUCGGAUUUAUUGGGCGUAAAGGGCGUGUAGGCGGCUGGGCAAGUCCGGUGUGAAAACGCUACCGCU